Molecule: ribosomal RNA, 122 nt
Filed under: Trichobilharzia regenti
Lineage: Eukaryota; Metazoa; Platyhelminthes; Trematoda; Strigeidida; Schistosomatidae
Source: RNAcentral
GUCGAGGAACACAUCACGCCAAAAACAUCGGUUUUCGUCCGAUCACCGAAGUUGCGCAGCGUCGGGACCGGCUAGUAUUUGCAGGGGUGACCACCUGAUAGCAGCACCAGGUGUUGUCAGCU